Molecule: ribosomal RNA, 116 nt
Filed under: Streptococcus pneumoniae
Lineage: Bacteria; Bacillati; Bacillota; Bacilli; Lactobacillales; Streptococcaceae
Source: RNAcentral
CUUAUCCAAAGUAACUGAGAAUAUGAAAGCGACCCAUGCCGAACACAGAAGUUAAGCCCUAGAACGCCGGAAGUAGUUGGGGGUUGCCCCCUGUGAGAUAGGGAAGUCGCUUAGCU